Molecule: ribosomal RNA, 445 nt
Filed under: uncultured bacterium
Lineage: Bacteria
Description: bacterial SSU rRNA
Rfam family: Bacterial small subunit ribosomal RNA
Source: RNAcentral
GUAAGGAAUAUUGGUCAAUGGACGGAAGUCUGAACCAGCCAUCCCGCGUGCAGGAUGAAUGUCCUAUGGAUUGUAAACUGCUUUUAGCAGAGACGAAACGCCUUCAUUUAUGGGGGUCUGACGGUAUCUGCGGAAUAAGCACCGGCUAACUCCGUGCCAGCAGCCGCGGUAAUACGGAGGGUGCGAGCGUUAUCCGGAAUCACUGGGUUUAAAGGGUGCGUAGGCGGGUUAUUAAGUCAGUGGUGAAAUCCUGUCGCUUAACGAUAGAACUGCCAUUGAUACUGAUAAUCUUGAAUUGGGUUGAGGUUAGCGGAAUGUGACAUGUAGCGGUGAAAUGCAUAGAUAUGUCAUGGAACACCAAUUGCGAAGGCAGCUAGCUGGGCCUUGAUUGACGCUGAUGCACGAAAGCGUGGGUAGCGAACAGGAUUAGAAACCCGGGUAGUCC